Molecule: long non-coding RNA, 1110 nt
Organism: Panonychus citri (citrus red mite)
Lineage: Eukaryota; Metazoa; Arthropoda; Arachnida; Trombidiformes; Tetranychidae
Exons: 3
Source: RefSeq, a predicted model, not a curated record
AGCAAAUGGAAUCAAAGGUGCAAUAUCCGAAUUGGAAGAGGAUAACAAGUAUCCAAGAAUUAAACCUUUUCGAAAUUUUUUGCUACUCUCAACAAAGGCGAUGAUCAAACAAAGAAAUAGGAGGUAACAUAAUCUCCGAGUAUGACCAAUGGUUAGAAGACAAUGAAAGAAAUAAAGAAAAGAACACCCAAUAAAAAUAAUCAGUUACAUUGCUCGAAACGUUGAUGACAAUUAAAUGUGACAAUUGGAAACCUUCAACCUUAUAUAACCUGUCGAUUUGUUGAUUGUUGGUCAUUGGAAAGGCCAAAGUGAAAUUUAAACAUAAUUAACUUCCGUAUCCAACCCUUUUCAGCGAUUAACUGUGUGUGUGUAUCUUAAUCGGAAUAAGUUAAUUGAUAAUUCAAUUAGUUAAUUUAGUUAGUGACACAUUCUCAUUAGACCGAUUUAGUUUUCCGUUCCCGUUAAUCAUCAGAAAAAUUUAUUCAUACAACUAAAUGAUUAGAUUAAUUUAGUUUAUCUUUUCCUAUCUCUCUUUUUGUUAAAUUUUUCUUUCUAAUUAUUAAUUAUUAUUUGUGGUUGGCCGCUAAUCGUUUACAAUUUGUACCCUUAAUUAAUUACUGUUAAUCAUUUUGUUCAGUGAUCACUUGAGGGGGAUUUUCAAUUGUGCUUUUUAAUCACAAUUUAACAAUCUAUUUAACCAUUUCUUCAGUUUUCUAUCUCUCAUUUCGUUUCAGAUCAAUUCUUUAAUUUCUCAAACUAAUUGAAAUUUAAUUUUAAUUGUGUUUAAAUUAUUGACUUUCUGUUUCUAUUACUAAUUAACAAUUGCUACUAUUUUGUCAUCUAAUUUGUUUUUAAUUACAAUUUAGCAACAACAAUUUAUCACUUGGAAACACAUACACAACCAUCAACAUCUAAGAAAAGCUGUUUCAUGAUUAAGGGUAACAAUUAAAAUUGAAGGAUAAGAUAAAUCGUGUUAAAUAAUUAUGAGCUGAUUAUGAUUAUCAUCAUUGUACUAAUUGCCAGAGAAAGAGAGAGAAAAGUUAAUUGUAGUAUUAAUAAUUUUCCAAAUCAUAUCGGAUCAUAUUCUUGACUGUGUGUGUGUGAGUAUCA